This 119-nucleotide ribosomal RNA is filed under the name Aegilops tauschii subsp. strangulata. Lineage: Eukaryota; Viridiplantae; Streptophyta; Magnoliopsida; Poales; Poaceae. The record is from RNAcentral.
GGAUGCGAUCAUAGCAGCAGUAAAGCACCGGAUCCCAUCAGAACUCUGAAGUUAAGCGUGCUUGGGCGAGAGUAGUACUAGGAUGGGUGACCUCCUGGGAAGUCCUCGUGUUGCAUUCC